RNAcentral lists this ribosomal RNA (468 nucleotides) under uncultured bacterium. Its description in RNAcentral is "partial 16S ribosomal RNA". It matches the Rfam family "Bacterial small subunit ribosomal RNA", at positions 28 to 507 of the family's 1533-position model. The record is from RNAcentral.
GACGAACGCUGGCGGCGUGCUUAACACAUGCAAGUCGAACGGAAAGGCCCUGCUUUUGUGGGGUGCUCGAGUGGCGAACGGGUGAGUAACACGUGAGUAACCUGCCCUUGACUUUGGGAUAACUUCAGGAAACUGGGGCUAAUACCGGAUAGGAGCUCCUGCUGCAUGGUGGGGGUUGGAAAGUUUCGGCGGUUGGGGAUGGACUCGCGGCUUAUCAGCUUGUUGGUGGGGUAGUGACUUACCAAGCCUUCGAAGGGUAGCCGGCCUGGGAGGGUGACCGGCCACAUUGGGACUGAGAUACGGCGCAGACUCCUACGGGACGCAACAGUGGGGAAUAUUACACAAUGGGCGGAAGCCUGAUGCAGCAACGCCGCGUGCGGGAUGACGGCCUUCGGGUUGUAAACCGAUUUCGCCUGUGACGAAGCGAGAGUGACGGUAAUGGGUAAAGAAGCACCGGCUAACUACGUG